GGAUGCGAUCAUACCAGCACUAAAGUACCGGAUCCCAUCAGAACUCCGAAGUUAAGCGUGAUUGGGCGAGAGUAGUACUAGGAUGGGUGACCUCCUGGGAAGUCCUCGUGUUGCAUCCC
This 119-nucleotide ribosomal RNA is filed under the name Oryza sativa Japonica Group (Japanese rice). The record is from RNAcentral. Lineage: Eukaryota; Viridiplantae; Streptophyta; Magnoliopsida; Poales; Poaceae.